Molecule: long non-coding RNA, 122 nt
Filed under: Microcebus murinus (gray mouse lemur)
Lineage: Eukaryota; Metazoa; Chordata; Mammalia; Primates; Cheirogaleidae
Description: HOX antisense intergenic RNA myeloid 1 conserved region 1 (ENSMICG00000035859.2)
Rfam family: HOX antisense intergenic RNA myeloid 1 conserved region 1
Source: RNAcentral
CACCGUUUCAGUGGCAUUUAAAUCCCCGGCGCUCCUCCGUCUAGGUGACGCGCAGUCGCCCCCCCAGGCAGCUGCGGCGGCGGCAGCUGCUGCGGCUGCAACGGCAGAUUCGGAGUGCUGGG